This 67-nucleotide transfer RNA is filed under the name Marmota monax (woodchuck). RNAcentral's name for it is "tRNA.Val". It matches the Rfam family "tRNA", at positions 6 to 65 of the family's 71-position model. Rfam says of the family: Transfer RNA (tRNA) molecules are approximately 80 nucleotides in length. Their secondary structure includes four short double-helical elements and three loops (D, anti-codon, and T loops). The record is from RNAcentral. Lineage: Eukaryota; Metazoa; Chordata; Mammalia; Rodentia; Sciuridae.
GGUUGUGGCUCAAUGGUAGAGCGUUUGCCUCACAUGCAUGAGGCCCUGGGUUCAAUUCUCAGCACCG